AUACGGAGGAUCCGAGCGUUAUCCGGAUUUAUUGGGUUUAAAGGGUGCGCAGGCGGCCAUUUAAGUCAGCGGUUAAAUCGUGGGGCUCAACCCCAUUCUGCCGUUGAUACUGGGUGGCUUGAUUGCGGGCGAGGUUGGCGGAAUUCGUUGUGUAGCGGGUAAAUGCAUAGAUAUGACGAAGAACACCGAUUGCGUAGGCAGCUGACCAGACCGCAAAUGACGCUCAUGCACGAAAGUGCGGGGAUCGAACAGGAUUAGAUACCCUGGUAGUCCGCACAGUAAACGAUGAAUACUUGUUUUCGGCGAUAUAAUGUCGGAGGCAAAGCGAAAGCGAUAAGUAUUCCACCUGGGGAGUACGCCGGCAACGGUGAAACUCAAAUGAAUUGACGGGG
Molecule: ribosomal RNA, 392 nt
Filed under: uncultured bacterium
Lineage: Bacteria
Description: partial 16S ribosomal RNA
Rfam family: Bacterial small subunit ribosomal RNA
Source: RNAcentral